RNAcentral lists this ribosomal RNA (435 nucleotides) under uncultured Planctomycetota bacterium. RNAcentral's name for it is "bacterial SSU rRNA". It matches the Rfam family "Bacterial small subunit ribosomal RNA", at positions 930 to 1497 of the family's 1533-position model. The record is from RNAcentral. Lineage: Bacteria; Pseudomonadati; Planctomycetota.
CGGUGGAGGAUGUGGCUUAAUUCGAGGCUACGCGAAGAACCUUACCAGGCCUUGACAUGCACGGAUCAACCCGGUGAAAGCGGCCCCGAACGGACAGGUGUGACGAGCGCAACCCCUGUUGCUAGUUGCCAGCGGGAUGUCAAGUCUCAUGGCCUUUAUGGCCUGGCUGCAUACAUGGUGCGUACAAGGGAAGCAAGCUCGCGAGAGUAAGCAUCCCAAAAAGCGCACCUCAGUACGGAUUGCAGUGCAACUCGCCCGCAUGAAGCUGGAAUCGCUAGUAAUCGCGGUCAGCAUACGGCGGUGAAUGUGCUCCUGAGCCUUGUACACACCGCCGUCAAGCCACGAAAGUGGGGGGGGCUUAAAGCCGUCGCGCUAACCCGCAAGGGAGGCAGGCGUCUAGAUCAACUCCGUGAUUGGGACUAAGUCGUACAAGGU